Molecule: ribosomal RNA, 498 nt
Filed under: uncultured bacterium
Lineage: Bacteria
Description: partial 16S ribosomal RNA
Rfam family: Bacterial small subunit ribosomal RNA
Source: RNAcentral
AUUGAACGCUGGCGGCAUGCCUUACACAUGCAAGUCGAACGGCAGCGGACCUUCGGGUGCCGGCGAGUGGCGAACGGGUGAGUAAAGUAUCGGAACGUACCCUAGAGUGGGGGAUAACUAUCCGAAAGGAUAGCUAAUAACGCAUAUUCUAUGCGUAGGAAAGCAGGGGAUCUUCGGACCUAGCGCUCUAGGAGCGGCCGAUAUCAGAUUAGCUAGUUGGUGGGGUAAAGGCCUACCAAGGCGACGAUCUGUAGCGGGUCUGAGAGGAUGAUCCGCCACACUGGGACUGAGACACGGCCCAGACUCCUACGGGAGGCAGCAGUGGGGAAUUUUGGACAAUGGGCGCAAGCCUGAUCCAGCCAUGCCGCGUGAGUGAAGAAGGCCUUCGGGUUGUAAAGCUCUUUCGGCCGGGAAGAAAUCGUGUGGGCUAAUAAUCUGCAUGGAUGACGGUACCGGAAUAAGAAGCACCGGCUAACUACGUGCCAGCAGCCGCCGUAA